UGAAAAGAGAAGUCACCCUCUGACACCC
This 28-nucleotide non-coding RNA is filed under the name Rattus norvegicus (Norway rat). Lineage: Eukaryota; Metazoa; Chordata; Mammalia; Rodentia; Muridae. The record is from RNAcentral.